This 400-nucleotide ribosomal RNA is filed under the name uncultured Nocardioides sp. Its description in RNAcentral is "bacterial SSU rRNA". It matches the Rfam family "Bacterial small subunit ribosomal RNA", at positions 974 to 1375 of the family's 1533-position model. The record is from RNAcentral. Lineage: Bacteria; Bacillati; Actinomycetota; Actinomycetes; Propionibacteriales; Nocardioidaceae.
CCUGGGUUUGACAUAUGGAGAAAUCUCCCAGAGAUGGGAGGUCCGUAAGGGCUCCAUACAGGUGGUGCAUGGCUGUCGUCAGCUCGUGUCGUGAGAUGUUGGGUUAAGUCCCGCAACGAGCGCAACCCUCGUCUUAUGUUGCCAGCACGUAAUGGUGGGGACUCAUAAGAGACUGCCGGGGUCAACUCGGAGGAAGGUGGGGAUGACGUCAAGUCAUCAUGCCCCUUAUGUCCAGGGCUUCACGCAUGCUACAAUGGCCGGUACAAAGGGCUGCGAUACCGCAAGGUGGAGCGAAUCCCAAAAAGCCGGUCUCAGUUCGGAUUGGGGUCUGCAACUCGACCCCAUGAAGUCGGAGUCGCUAGUAAUCGCAGAUCAGCAACGCUGCGGUGAAUACGUUCCC